This 508-nucleotide long non-coding RNA is filed under the name Anser cygnoides (Swan goose). RNAcentral's name for it is "lncRNA (ENSACDG00005008574.1)". The record is from RNAcentral. Lineage: Eukaryota; Metazoa; Chordata; Aves; Anseriformes; Anatidae.
UGGGAGGGCGGAUUGGGGUGCCGGGGGGGGCGAGGGGGGGCAGCAAGGACCCCCCCCCCACCCCCACCCCGCACCCCUUCUAACGGGGGGGUGGCGCAGACGUGGCGGUGGGGGCGCCGCUGGGGGCCGAGGGCCGGCAGGGCCUGGUCUACGUCUACGGGGGGAGCGGGGCCGGGCUGCGCCCCCAGCCCAGCCAGGUGCUGCGGGGCCUCUGGGCGCCCGGCCGCCACCCCGACUUCUUCGGAGCCGCCCUGCGCGGGGCCACCGACCUCGACGGCAACGGCUACCCCGACCUCCUGGUGGGCGCCUUCGGGGUGGACACGGCCGUGGUGUACAGGGGCCGCCCCAUCGUCCACGCCAGCGCCUCGCUCAGCGUCGUCCCCACCAUGUUCAACCCCGAGGAGCGCGGCUGCGUCCUCGAGGGCACCGAGCUCCACGUCCCCUGGUGGGUGGCACCCUGGGGUGGCACCCUUGGGUGGGGGGGGAGGGUUGUGGCACCCUUGGGGGG